GCUACUGAGUUGCUAGGAGGCGCGGGGAUGCUGUGGGGGGAAGCGGUGUUCGGACGUGUUGGGGGUAAUGGGCUCGUAGGCGGUUUGUUACGUCUGUUGGGAAAGCCCACGGCUUAACCGGUGGUCUGCGGUGGAUACGGGCAGACUAGAGGCAGGUAGGGGAGAACGGAAGUCCCGGUGUAGCGGUGAAAUGCGCAGAUAUCGGGAGGAACACCGGUGGCGAAGGCGGUUCUCUGGGCCUGUACUGACGCUGAGGAGCGAAAGCGUGGGGAGCGAACAGGAUUAGAUACCCCAGUAGUC
RNAcentral lists this ribosomal RNA (300 nucleotides) under uncultured Pyrobaculum sp. Its description in RNAcentral is "bacterial SSU rRNA". It matches the Rfam family "Bacterial small subunit ribosomal RNA", at positions 496 to 795 of the family's 1533-position model. Lineage: Archaea; Thermoproteati; Thermoproteota; Thermoprotei; Thermoproteales; Thermoproteaceae. The record is from RNAcentral.